Molecule: long non-coding RNA, 6546 nt
Filed under: Strongylocentrotus purpuratus (purple sea urchin)
Lineage: Eukaryota; Metazoa; Echinodermata; Echinoidea; Camarodonta; Strongylocentrotidae
Description: uncharacterized LOC105436626
Source: RNAcentral
AUGUCAACGACAUCGGAACAUCCGCUUCAAGAAAAGGACUCUAGCGAGACGCCUUCACCCUCUACCCAAAGUGCCAAUUACGAGACCAAAAGCGUGGCUUCGCGACGGUCUCAAUCUAGUAAACAUUCUUCUGUUGUCUCAGAGGCACUGCGUGCCCGUGCCAACGCUGAGGCAAGUAAGGUAAGGUUAGAGUUCGCACGUAAAGAAGCCGAACUACAGAAACAAAGGGCUGCUCAGGAUGCCGAGCUUUUUGUAUUGGGAGCAGAAAGAGAUGCUGCUAUGGCCGAAGUACAAGUCUCGGUUUUUGAAGAAGGACUUGAAGACUUCGGGGAGUCUGUGAAGAGUGUGGAUUUAGUUCUUCCACAAAAGGACUCUAGGGAACGUGUGGAAGAAUUUUUGUUAUCUUGUGAUGCAAUUAAGAAUGUAGAUGGUAAUGUUCAAGCAAAUAUUAACAAAAUCUCCCACAAGACACACCCUAUUUCCUCCCAACAUCCCGAAGAAAUGGUAAUGGAUCAAGAAGGUGAAAUGCAAACAGAAUGUAAUACAUCCCCUAAUGUUGUUCCUACUUGCUCCCCUCUGCCUCUUGAAAUGGAAAAUGGUCAAAAGGGAUCAAAGGUUGUAGAUAAUGCCUCUAAUGUAGUUCUUACUACUCCUUCACAUGUAGAAACUGUAGUUGGAAUUUCUGAUUUAAGUAACAUGUUGCUGAAGAAAGAAUUGAUAACUAGUGGCUUGAGAAAAUUUAAUGAUCAUGCAUUUAGUUACAGGUCUUGGAAAGCCUCUCUCAAACAAGUAACCACAGAGCUUAAGUUGAAGCCCUUUCAAGAGAUGGAUUUGAUAAUUAGGUGGUUGGGCAAGGAGUCUUCCCAGUUGGUCUCAGCUAUCUAUGACAUACAUGUUGAUAAGCCAAAGAUUGGUCUUGAUAGAAUGUGGGAACUCUUAGACAGGAAGUAUGGGUCCCCAGAGGCAAUUGAACAGGAUCUUCAUCAAAGGAUUGAAGACUUUCCCAAACUAACACAAAAGGACUAUGAAAAGCUAGAGCAGUAUGGUCAUUUGCUCUUAGAGAUUGAGUAUGCCAAAGAUAAUGGAAAUUUCCCAGGGUUGUUGCAUUUGGACUCGGCAAGAGGGUUACAUGGAUUGGUCCAGAAGCUGCCACAUAGCCUCCAAGAGAGAUGGGUAAUGGAGGGCUCUCGGUACAAGGAGAGGAACCAUGUGACCUUCCCGCCUUUCAAGGUCUUCAGCGAGUUUGUCCGCUAUCAGGCAAAGAUUCGGAAUGACCCUAGCUUCAUAAUGCCUCGUGACACAAAGCAACAGGAUGUUACAAGAAGAAUGGUCAGUGUCAGAGCUACGGAUGUAAAGACUGUUAGUUCUACAGCAUCAAAGGUCUUUUGCCCCAUUCACAAGAAGAAUCACUCAAUCUUAGAGUGCAAGGCAUUUCUUGCGAAAACAGUUCCUGACAAGAAGACUGUCCUCAAACAAUACCAACUUUGUUAUAGGUGCUGUUUUCCAGGACACGCAGCACGAGAGUGUAAAGCUGAGGUUAAAUGCGACUCGUGUGGUAGCCAACGCCACCAAACAAUUCUACACUAUGAGUAUCGCAAUGACUCACCAAAGAGUUCGCAGAAAGCUGUAGACACCCCUCCAUCCCAAAUUACCAAUGCAUGCUCCAAAGUGCAGGGUACAAGAUGCAUCGGUAGCAGAUCUUGUGCGAAGAUUGUUCCUGUCUUCGUCAGGUCAAAGAGGGAUCAGAAGGUUGUCAAGACGUACGCCAUCAUAGAUGAUCAAAGCAACAAGACCAUAGCUACAUCGCAACUUUUAGACAAGUUUGAUAUUGACUAUGGUAGGGUAAGUUACACUCUACGCACUUGCAGUGGAGAAGUGUCAGCUCAAGGAAGGUAUGCUGAUGAAUUUGUGGUAGAGGAUCUAAAUGGCACUGUCUGUUUGAGUUUGCCAACGGUCACUGAGUGUGCUUACAUCCCUGAUUUCAAAGAUGAUAUUCCAACACCUGAGAUAGUUCAAGCAUAUGAUCAUCUAAAAGGCAUUGAGAUUCCAGAGAUUGAUCAUGAAUGCACAGCAACUCUUUUGAUAGGAAGGGACGUGAUGGAAGCACACCAUGUCCUAGAUCAAAGGAUUGGGCCUCCUAACUCGCCGUUCGCACAAAGGCUGAAGCUUGGCUGGGUUAUCAUUGGUGACGUAUGCCUUCAAGGGAUUCAUCGGAGUGACAAGCACUCGAAUAGGAUUUCCCUGUUGCGUACUCAGGUGCUCUCUACAGGACGGCCUACAUACCUGGAACCCUGUCCAAAUGAGUUCCAAAUGAAACACUUGUUUGACAAUGAGGACGAUACCAUGAGUCUGGCUAUAGAGGAGCAACGGUUUGUAGAUCUUAUGGUGGAAGAGGCAGGCCUAAAGAAUGGAAAAUGGACAGCUCCGUUGCCCUUCAAGCAGCCGAGAGAUCGUCUGCCUAACAAUCGUCAACAAGCUUUCAAAAGAGCGCAGAUUCUCAAAGCGAGCAUGGAAAAGAAUCACCUCAAAAGAGAGCACAUGACCACAUUCAUGGCAAAGGUCUUAUCUGAAGGCCACGCGGAGGUGGCUCCCUCUCUGCAAGAAAACGAAGAGUGCUGGUACCUGCCAAUGUUUGGGGUGUAUCACCCAAGAAAGAAAGACAAAAUCAGAGGCGUCUUUGAUUCUUCGGCGGAGUUCAUGGGACACUCUUUGAACAAGGUUCUGUUGAAAGGUCCAGACCUUACCAACGAUUUGGUUGGGGUGUUGAUGAGGUUUCGGCAAGGACCGGUUGCAGUCUGCGGGGACAUUGAGUCGAUGUUCUACUGUUUUUCAGUAUCCGAAGAACACAGGAAUUUUCUCAGAUUCUUCUGGCACGAAGACAAUGAUUUUGCCAAACCCCUCACGGAGUAUCGUAUGCUGAAGCAUGUGUUUGGCAACACUCCAUCUCCAGCUGUAGCGAAUUAUGGUCUGAGGGACCUAACCAGUGACGCUGAACCAGACGUUAGGGACUUUGUUCACAACAAUUUCUAUGUGGAUGAUGGACUCGCUGCAUGUGAUGACAGCAACACAGCUGUUUCACUCAUGGAACGAACACGAGCCAAGCUAAAGGAGAAAGCUGGUAUUCGCCUGCACAAAAUUGCAUCCAACUCUCAAGUAGUACUCGAUGCCUUUGAGCCAGAGGAGGUUCAGAAGGAUAUUAGGAACCUCACGCUGAGUGAUGGGGCCCCUACACAAAGGAGUUUGGGUGUUCAGUGGAAUUUGAAGGACGACACCUUCAUUUUCCAAAUCGAGUUAGCGGCAAGACCCUACACAAAACGAGGAGUUCUGUCUAUGAUCAAUGGCGUGUUUGAUCCUCUGGGUUUCCUUGCCCCGGUCAUGGUACAAGCAAGAGUCCUGUUCAGAGAAAUGACUACUCACCAGGUGGAUUGGGAUGACAAGCUCCCUGAAAUGUACAAGUCCGUCUGGGAGUCUUGGACCUCUGGGCUAUCUGAGCUGCAAUCAGUGUCAGUUCCUCGCAACUACCCCAUCUGCCUAGAGAAUGGUGUCUUGAAUGUCUAUUGUGAUGCAUCCGAAGUCGCGGUUGCUGCCGUCGCAUACUUGAUAGAUGUGGACCAAGAGAAACCCAGUGCGAGUUUUGUCUUUGGAAAGUCGAAGCUAGCUCCAAGAUUAGGUCACACCAUACCAAGACUGGAGCUCUGCGCUGCAGUCUUAGGAACAGAAAUAGCCAGAAUUGUGUGUAGAGAGUUGAAUAUUCAGGCUUCGACUGUGGUUUUUCACUCCGACAGUAGGAUUGUUCUUGGGUAUUUGAAUAACACAGUCAGAAGAUUCCAUACCUAUAUAGCGAACCGGGUUCACAAGGUUCUUAGUUUCUCCCAACCCUCACAAUGGAGGUAUGUGCCUACAUCCAAUAACCCUGCUGACUUUGGUACCCGUCCGGUUUCAGCUCGGUCUCUGAAAGACUCUCCAUGGCUUAUUGGUCCGCAGAAGCCAGCUACUCAAGAAGUAGAGGAUCCUGUAUCGGAAUUCCCACUGGUAGAUCCCGACCGAGAUGAAGAAAUAAGACAUGAUGUGAAAAUCCAGGUCACAAAAACCAAUUUGGAGUUGCGAAGACUUGUUUCACGGUUUGAAAAGUUCUCAACAUGGAACAGCCUAGUUAGAGCUUUCGGUCUACUUGUACACAUUGCUUGUUCGUUCAGCUCUAGGAGCGGCAACGGUCGGUGCCAUGGCUGGCACGUUUGUGGUGCUACAGACGUAGAGCUCGUACGUCGUGUCAAGACAAUGAUAGUGAAGGAAGUACAGGAGCAGUUCUUUCACGAAGAAUAUGAAUGUCUCAGAGAGGGUGUGCCUCUACCCUCUAACUCCACUAUCCGGGACUUAUCACCCAUCCUGAAUCAAGACGGUUUGAUAUGCGUUGGUGGGCGCUUGAGGAAGUCCUCGCUUCCAGUGGUGAUGAAGCAUCCGGUGCUGAUACCAGGAAAGAGUCACAUUGCCAAACUUCUUGUACUACACUAUCACAAUAAUGGGCAUUCUGGCAGACAGUUGACAGAAGGUGCUUUGCGGGACGCGGGCUUUUGGAUAACUGGGGGCAAGAGAGUUAUAUCGUCUGUUAUCCAUCGUUGUGUGAACUGCCGUAAACUCAGAGGUAAGACCGCGCUCCAACGCAUGGCUGAUCUUCCCCAGGAGCGUCUGAAGGCUGGACCUCCUUUUUCACAGGUUGGCGUAGACUGUUUCGGGCCUUGGGAAGUGGUCACCAGAAAGACCAGAGGAGGUGCUGCUCAAAGCAAGAGGUGGGGAAUGAUAUUCUCCUGUCUCACUUCUAGGGCUAUUCAUAUCGAAGUUCUUGAGGAAAUGAGCACUUCGUCAUGCAUCAACGCACUUCGACGAUUUAUGGCUGUACGAGGCAAGGUUGAGACUUUUUGGUCCGAUAGAGGAUCAAACUUUGUGGGAGUGUUGAACGACAAGGUGUUUCAUACUUAUCUGGAGAGGAACGACACCGAAUGGAAGCUAAAUCCUCCCCAUGCCCCUCACAUGGGAGGAGUCUGGGAGAGAAUGAUUGGUUUGUUCAAGGGAAUUCUUAAUGGUAUCUUACUCGAGGCAAAACAGAGGGACCUUACACACGAGACUUUGGCCACCUUCAUGAUGGAAGCUAUGGCUAUUGUCAAUGCUCGACCUCUCGUCCCAUUGAGCUCUGAUCCAGAAGACACUUCCUUCCUCUCACCAUCUAUGCUUUUGACUCAGAAGCAUGGGAGCAUAGAAGAGGUACUUGUCGAAGAUUGCACCCGUAACAUGUACAAGGCUCAAUGGAAAAGAGUGCAAAUUCUAGCCGACCGGUUUUGGAAACAGUGGAGACUGCGCUACCUGCAAAGUCUUCAGCAGAGGCGCAAAUGGAUAAGCACGGAAAGGAAUGUCAAGAAAGGUGACAUAGUGUUGUUGAGAGACAAGGAGGUCAAAAGAAACCUUUGGCCUUUGGGCAUCAUUGAGAGUGUUAGUCCUGGAGAUGAUGGUUUGGUUCGUCAAGUGCAAGUUCGUCUGCCCUCGACUGGAAAAACCUUUUGCAGACCGAUUCAUGAGUUGAUUUUGUUGGUCGAGGCGGAAUAGAUACCUGUUCUCACUCCAAUCUUGGCAUGCUUGGACUUAAGUUAUUUGUGGAAAAUCUUGUACAAUUUUACAGUUUAUGGGCGGUGAUAUUUUAGCAAUUAUUGCUCUGUCAGUUUUAACGUCUAUUGGACGUUGGGGGGAGUGUGCUGCACGCGAUUAAAUAUAAUCUGUUCACUUGGCUUUCCAUAGUCAGAAACAAUGGCGCUCCUUUUGAGCGAACUAUCCUAUUUUCUCAAGCCACAAGUUUCGUAAAGUUUCUUAAAGUAUGGUUAUUAUAUCAUGUUUAAACUGGUUCUUGAAGGUUUAGGAUCGAGGUCUACUGCCUGAUGAUUUCGUUUAUAGGAGACAAGCGACAGAGAUUCAUGGGUUACAAUCCGAUUACGUCAGAUAGAUAGCUUGGAAGUGCACAAGUCUGUAAGUUCAUUUUGUUGAAUAGACAUGUAAGGACAGGAUAUAAGUCUACAUAAUUUUAGACUGGGAAACUGCCUUUGUAAGAAUGUUGUAUGAUAUACAAUGCUUUGUUCCUAAGUAUGGCAAGCCGUUUGCAGACCUCUAAAAUGGUCAGGUUUUGUAUAGGUACAGUCAUUACUAAAUAUUGUUGCAGUAAUUCUCAUUAUAACUUGAGCAUUAUUCCAUAAAUCUUGAAACUGAGAAUCUAUUGUUUGUUGUGAUUUUAAGGUGCAUCUGGUAGAAACUUUGAACAUAAAGGGAUUCACCUAUUAAAGUAAAUGUACGUUAGUAUUUUAUGUACUUACCUGUUUGGAUUAUGAUUGAUUCAUAAGUCUGAAUCUGCCUAGUUGGACUGUUGAGAACAUAGUUUGUUCUAUUAUGAUCUUUUACAUGUAUAAUUGAUGCGAUGUUAUCAUUCAUUGUAUUUUACAGUUUUACCACAUUCACGACGUUAUGCCGAAGUAAGGCUUGAAUAAAGACUAGAGUACAACCUUUCAA